This 777-nucleotide ribosomal RNA is filed under the name uncultured bacterium. Its description in RNAcentral is "bacterial SSU rRNA". It matches the Rfam family "Bacterial small subunit ribosomal RNA", at positions 9 to 783 of the family's 1533-position model. The record is from RNAcentral.
GAGUUUGAUCCUGGCUCANGAUGAACGCUAGCGGCAGGCUUAACACAUGCAAGUCGAGGGGUAACAUUGGUGCUUGCAUCAGAUGACGACCGGCGCACGGGUGCGUAACGCGUAUACAAUCUACCUUUUGCUGAGGGAUAGCCUUUGGAAACGAAGAUUAAUACCUCAUAGUAUGUUUUGAUGGCAUCAUCAAAAUAUUAAAGGUUACGGCAAAAGAUGAGUAUGCGUUCUAUUAGCUAGAUGGUGUGGUAACGGCACACCAUGGCAACGAUAGAUAGGGGCCCUGAGAGGGGGACCCCCCACACUGGUACUGAGACACGGACCAGACUCCUACGGGAGGCAGCAGUGAGGAAUAUUGGACAAUGGAGGCAACUCUGAUCCAGCCAUGCCGCGUGCAGGAAGACUGCCCUAUGGGUUGUAAACUGCUUUUAUACAGGAAGAAACCGCUCUACGUGUAGAGCCUUGACGGUACUGUAAGAAUAAGGAUCGGCUAACUCCGUGCCAGCAGCCGCGGUAAUACGGAGGAUCCAAGCGUUAUCCGGAAUCAUUGGGUUUAAAGGGUCCGUAGAUGGAUAAUUAAGUCAGAGGUGAAAUCCUGCAGCUCAACUGUAGAAUUGCCUUUGAUACUGGUUAUCUUGAGUUAUUGUGAAGUAGUUAGAAUAUGUAGUGUAGCGGUGAAAUGCAUAGAUAUUACAUAGAAUACCAAUUGCGAAGGCAGAUUACUAACAAUAUACUGACACUGAUGGACGAAAGCGUGGGGAGCGAACAGGAUUAGAU